GAGGCUAUCAUGCUCUACCUGAAGUGUACAGGGAAAAGGAGAAAAAUGGAAAAUGAGAUUUAUUCCCCAACAUAACAAUGAUGUCUUGAUUAAUAGUUAUAGCUCAGCUCUGAAAAUCCUACAUGCCAAAGCAUUUGUGAAUGUGGAGAACUGAAGCACACGUUUGAAUAUUCCCAGUGACCCUGUUUGAGGUAAACAUGAGGACCUCAUUAAAGUGCUUGUGCUCCACCUGAGGUUCAUGGAGUGAAGCUGCUCCCACUAGAGUUCUUCCAGUGACUUCUGCAGGAAUUGGCCAAAACUGCCUUUGUGUACAGGAUGGAUGAAUUCCAGUCCCCUCAGAUCUUCAAACCUCCGUGUGAAGGUACCGUACUGCACACCACGCAUCUGCAAAGCCCUUCUUCCACCUGUGCACUGUGACUGCUGCGAGCCUGGGACUCUGCUGCACCGCUCCAAACAGGAAUGCAGGCAUCGUGUCUGCAUAUGUGAAGGCUGGGACAGCUUGACCUGUUGCAGUAAGUGGGGUCUCCUUGCUGGCAUUUCAGCACCUUGCUGCCUUGGCCUUACCGGAUCAGUCCCUGCCUGCGUACAACAUUUGUUCAUGUCGCUGCAUGCUGCCUUUGGUCUUCCUACUUCAGGGCAGACAGUCAGCUGCUUCUCAGGAAGAUGUAAACUAAAGAAAGUAUCUUUGGCCUCUGGUCUGGAGUCCUGCGUUACAGAUGUGCAAUGUACUGAGUUGGUGUUGUGGACACAAGAUUGUGCGCUUGGAGCUUCAGAAAUGCUCGUGUCAAGCGUUUGCAGAGCAGAAAUGUCUCGGGGAAGGUCUGCCCUUCCUUCAGGAGACCCUGAGCAAACCCCCA
This 857-nucleotide long non-coding RNA is filed under the name Anser brachyrhynchus (Pink-footed goose). RNAcentral describes it as "lncRNA (ENSABRG00000007359.1)". The record is from RNAcentral. Lineage: Eukaryota; Metazoa; Chordata; Aves; Anseriformes; Anatidae.